RNAcentral lists this long non-coding RNA (233 nucleotides) under Physcomitrium patens. RNAcentral describes it as "long non-coding RNA (PPAT_LNC004021)". Lineage: Eukaryota; Viridiplantae; Streptophyta; Bryopsida; Funariales; Funariaceae. The record is from RNAcentral.
UUUUCCCGGCAGCGGCGCCAAAAUGUGAUUGUCGUUUUACUUACUCUAACUUAUCUAAUCAGAGUAAACCUGUAUAGGGGAAUUCGAACACAGGGAAAGAAUACCGCAUGAGCUUACACGUUAGGGUCACACAAUUAACUGUAUUCCGCACUACUUAAAACAUCCAAGAAACACUACAAUGCUUUCCACUUCCUAAUAAUACUCCACCAUCACUGAUAACAACAACAUGUAAU